Molecule: RNA transcript, 3465 nt
Organism: Raphanus sativus (radish)
Lineage: Eukaryota; Viridiplantae; Streptophyta; Magnoliopsida; Brassicales; Brassicaceae
Gene name: disease resistance-like protein DSC2
Exons: 5
Source: RefSeq, a predicted model, not a curated record
UGUUAACGAUGAUGGCUUCUUCAUCAUCCUCAUCAUCUCCGGCUCCCAAUUUGUUGUAUCACGUCUUCCUGAGCUUCCGUGGUGAAAACGUGCGCAAAGGCUUUCUUAGUCAUGUUCUGAAAGAGUUCAAAAGCAAGGGAAUCAAUGUUUUCAUUGAUAACGAGAUCAAGCGAGGUGAAUCUGUCGGUCGCGAGCUUGUUAAAGCGAUCAGACAUUCAAGGGUUGCCGUUGUAUUGCUCUCCCCUAACUACGCUUCUUCAAGCUGGUGUCUAGGUGAGUUGGUGGAAAUCAUGAAGUGCAGGAAAGAGGUUGGUAGAACAGUGUUGACCAUUUUCUACCAAGUAGAUCCAUCUGAUGUUAGGAAACAAACGGGGGAUUUCGGAAAAGCCUUUGAUGAAACCUGUGUGGGGAAAACAGAAGAGGUGAAGCAGGUAUGGAGGCAAGCUUUGGAAGAUGUCGCUGGUAUAGCUGGCUACCACUCUAGCAACUGGGGCAGUGAAGCUGAUUUGAUCAACAAAGUCGCCUCAGAUGUCAUGGCUGGGUUGGGUUUUAGACUUCCAAAAGACUUUGAUGACUUUCUUGGCAUAGAAGCUCGUAUCACGGAGAUAAAAUCGAAGUUCAUACUACAAUCAGAACAAGUUAAGGUGAUUGGGAUUUUGGGUCCUCCCGGGAUAGGGAAGACGACCACUGCCAGAGUUUUAUACAACCAACUCUCUCCUGACUUCCCCUUCAGCACGUUUUUGGAGAAUAUCAGAGGUAGUUAUGAGAAGUCUCGUGGUAACGACUAUCGGUUGAAGUUGCGUUUGCAGAAAAACUUGUUGUCUCAAAUAUUCAACAAAGGGGACAUUGAGGUUCAUCACUUAAGAGGGGCUCCAAAAAUGCUGAGUGGCAAAAAGGUGUUGGUUGUUUUUGAUGAAGUUGAUAACUGGUGGCAACUAGAGGAAAUGGCUAAUCAGCCUGGAUGGGUUGGUCCCCGAAGUAUUAUUAUUAUUACAACCGAAGAUAGAAAACUUCUCAAGGCACUUGGACUUGGCAGCGAUCAUAUCUACAGGAUGAAAUGUCCAACUAGAGAUGAGUCUCUGCAGAUCUUCUGCCAACAUGCUUUCGGUCAAAAGUCUCCAGAUCAUGGUUUCGAAAGGCUUGCUAGGGAAAUUACUUGGCUUGCUGGUUAUAUUCCUCUAGGCCUGAGAGUUAUGGGAUCUUGUCUAAGAGGAAUGUCCAGGGACAAGUGGAAUGAGGCACUACGAUGGCUCCGGUCUACCUGUGACAGAGAAAUUGAAUCAAUUCUAAGAUUUAGCUACGACGCCUUGGGAGAAAAUGAAAGAACUCUUUUUCUGCAUUUAGCAUGUUUCUUUGCUGGUUUCAGCAUUGAGCAGGUCAAAAGGUAUUUUGCAAACCGUAGUUUGGAAGUCAAUCAUGGGCUUGAAGUUGUAGCUCAAAAAUCUCUUAUAUCUAUAGUCAAGGGAUGCGUAGAAAUGCAUAGUUUACUGGAACAAAUGGGUAGAGAAAUUGUCAAGAAACAGUAUUUGGAAGAGCCUGGAAAGAGACAGUUCUUGAUGGAUGCCAAGGAUAUUUCUGAUGCGCUUGAUCAAGAUACUGUUACUGGAAAUGUUCUAGGCAUAGAGAUAUCAUCUUGCAAAUAUGCGGUGUUACCAGGUGAAGAAGUGCCUGCACACUUCACUCACCGAGCCAGUUCAAGUUCCUUAACGAUCACUUCGACACCAAGACCUCUUCCUUCAUCCUUCAGAUUCCAAGCUUGUAUCUUGGUGUCAGAGGUAUAUGAUCAUCUUGUGUUUAGCAAACGUAUGUCUUAUUCCGUCAGGGCUAAACAGAAUGGCCUCACAGUCGGAAGUAGGUCAAACAUGAUCCUUAUUCCAGGUCUGUAUAGGCCAGAUCUAUUUGUACAUGGAGAGUAUCUGUAUAUAUUUGAAGAUGAUUUCACUCUAAACCAGGAUUGCCCUGAAGCCGAAGAAACCACUUUCAGCGAUUUUACUUUUGUGUUCAGAGUCCAUGAUGAAAACUGCAAGGUCAAAGGCUGCGGUGUACAACUUUUCGAGUUCAACCUUUGUAUUCUUGAAAGAAAAGAAACUUACAACCAAGACUGUAUGGGCAUAAACAUAGAGUCAACCAAUGAACGUGCAGGUGGUGAGGAUGGAGAUGAAGAUGAGGAUUAUGAUGCGGAUGAUAGUGGUAAUGGUGGUGAGGAAGAUGAUGAUGAUGAUGAUGAUGAAGAUCAUGUUGAUGAUGACGAAGGUGGUGAUGAUGAUAAUAAUAAAGUUGUGGAGAAUGAUGAUGUGAUGCCACAUUCUUCUGAUUCUCUUUCUAAUCAAUCCUCCCCAUUUAGUCGUGGAACACCAUCUUCAGGAGGACCCAUCAGGCAUAUGCCACCGCAUCCUUCAGCAAUUCCUCAAUACUCAUCUAACCCAUAUGCUUCUCUACCACCAAGGACAUCUACAGUUCAAACUUUCGGAUACAACCAGGGAGGUGCAGGUACCACUGAACAACAACAGAGUGGUCCAUCCAUUGAUCCUCAGUCAGGUACCGGAAUGACCUCUUACCCUCCCCCAAUUUCAAUGCAAUCUGGUUAUAGUAGGCCAUUCUAUGGAAGUCCUAUGCACCAAGGAGGUGAUAAGCAGCAGCAGAACAUGUUGCCGGUUCCUCAGUCACUCAAUCCACACUCCAUUCUUCAACAAAUGCAGCUUUCACGACCACAACGCCCUAUGCAGCCUCCUCAGCAUGUUAGACCAUCCAUGCAGAUAUCUCAGCCGACAGACCAAGGAGUAUCAUUGCAAAACCAGUAUCAGAUUCCAUUGCAUCCGAUGCAGAUGAUGCAACAGACGCAAGUCCAGCCUUACUAUCACCCACCUCAACAACAAGAGAUCUCUUAUCGGUUUCCUUUCCAUCCCAUGCAAAUGAGGCAACAGACUCAAGUCCAGCCGUACUAUCUCCCACCUCAACAACAAGAGAUCUCUUAUCAGAUUCCACUGCAUCCUAUGCAGAUGAUGCCACAGACGCAAGUCCAGCCGUACUAUCACCCACCUCAACAACAAGAUAUCUCUCAUGUGCAGCAACAGCAACCACAGCAACAAGCUGUUCAAGGUCAGCAAGGAGCUGGGAUUACUUCCCGUCGCAGAACCCAUUCAGGCUUUAUUAGGUAACCGCGAGAAGCUGUGUGAGCUUCUGGAACAGGAUCCAAAGCUAAUGCAAAUGCUUCAGGAAAAACUAGGGCAGCUGUGAGAAGAAAGAGCCACUACUCAACAAAUAUAUAUCUAUCCCUCCCUGGCUUAUUAGUUUCUUUUUGUUCAUAUGAUGUUUAACAUACAAAUAUAACAUGUACAUUUGUUUCAGUUUGAUAUGUCGAGAGACUAAGAGCUGUAAAUUCCCGUUUGUUGUUUGUUUAGUUGAAAAACCCGGGCACAAUCAAUCUAGGAUUUUAUUCAGUUAGGUCUGUAUUCAUCCCUGUAC